RNAcentral lists this ribosomal RNA (253 nucleotides) under uncultured bacterium. Its description in RNAcentral is "partial 16S ribosomal RNA". It matches the Rfam family "Bacterial small subunit ribosomal RNA", at positions 524 to 776 of the family's 1533-position model. The record is from RNAcentral.
UACGGGGGGGGCAAGCGUUGUUCGGAAUUACUGGGCGUAAAGGGCGCGUAGGCGGGUGGACAAGUCUCUCGUGAAAGCCCACGGCUCAACCGUGGAAUUGCGGGAGAUACUGUCUGUCUUGAGUCCGGGAGAGGAGGGUGGAAUUCCCAGUGUAGCGGUGAAAUGCGUAGAUAUUGGGAGGAACACCGGUGGCGAAGGCGGCCAUCUGGACCGGCACUGACGCUGAGGUGCGAAAGCUAGGGUAGCAAACGGG